This 314-nucleotide ribosomal RNA is filed under the name uncultured bacterium. Its description in RNAcentral is "bacterial SSU rRNA". It matches the Rfam family "Bacterial small subunit ribosomal RNA", at positions 28 to 334 of the family's 1533-position model. The record is from RNAcentral.
GACGAACGCUGGCGGCGUGCCUAAUACAUGCAAGUAGAACGCUGAAGGGAGAGCUUGCUCUUUUGGAUGAGUUGCGAACGGGUGAGUAACGCGUAGGUAACCUGCCUGGUAGCGGGGGAUAACUAUUGGAAACGAUAGCUAAUACCGCAUAACAUUGACUAUUGCAUGAUAGUCAAUUGAAAGGUGCAAUUGCACCACUACCAGAUGGACCUGCGUUGUAUUAGCUAGUUGGUGGGGUAACGGCUCACCAAGGCGACGAUACAUAGCCGACCUGAGAGGGUGAUCGGCCACACUGGGACUGAGACACGGCCCAG